GGGGUUGUGGCUCAGUGGUAGAGCACUUGCCUCACACGCAUGAGGCACUGGGUUCAAUCCUCAACACCA
This 69-nucleotide transfer RNA is filed under the name Ictidomys tridecemlineatus (thirteen-lined ground squirrel). RNAcentral's name for it is "Spermophilus tridecemlineatus (thirteen-lined ground squirrel) tRNA". It matches the Rfam family "tRNA". From Rfam's summary of the family: Transfer RNA (tRNA) molecules are approximately 80 nucleotides in length. Their secondary structure includes four short double-helical elements and three loops (D, anti-codon, and T loops). Further hydrogen bonds mediate the characteristic L-shaped molecular structure. tRNAs have two regions of fundamental functional importance: the anti-codon, which is responsible for specific mRNA codon recognition, and the 3' end, to which the tRNAs corresponding amino acid is attached (by aminoacyl-tRNA synthetases). tRNAs cope with the degeneracy of the genetic code in two manners: having more than one tRNA (with a specific anti-codon) for a particular amino acid; and 'wobble' base-pairing, i.e. permitting non-standard base-pairing at the 3rd anti-codon position. Lineage: Eukaryota; Metazoa; Chordata; Mammalia; Rodentia; Sciuridae. RNAcentral also lists the same sequence under 1 other name. The record is from Rfam by way of RNAcentral.